RNAcentral lists this ribosomal RNA (468 nucleotides) under uncultured bacterium. RNAcentral describes it as "partial 16S ribosomal RNA". It matches the Rfam family "Bacterial small subunit ribosomal RNA", at positions 28 to 507 of the family's 1533-position model. The record is from RNAcentral.
GACGAACGCUGGCGGCGUGCUUAACACAUGCAAGUCGAACGGAAAGGCCCUGCUUUUGUGGGGUGCUCGAGUGGCGAACGGGUGAGUAACACGUGAGUAACCUGCCCUUGACUUUGGGAUAACUUCAGGAAACUGGGGCUAAUACCGGAUAGGAGCUCCUGCUGCAUGGUGGGGGUUGGAAAGUUUCGGCGGGUGGGGAUGGACUCGCGGCUUAUCAGCUUGUUGGUGGGGUAGUGGCUUACCAAGGCUUUGACGGGUAGCCGGCCUGAGAGGGUGACCGGCCACAUGGGGACUGAGAUACGGCCCAGACUCCAACGGGAGGCAGCAGUGGGGAAUAUUGCACAAUGGGCGGAAGCCUGAUGCAGCAACGCCGCGUGCGGGAUGACGGCCUUCGGGUUGUAAACCGCUUUCGCCUGUGACGAAGCGUGAGUGACGGUAAUGGGUAAAGAAGCACCGGCUAACUACGUG